Oncorhynchus tshawytscha (Chinook salmon) is the source of this 289-nucleotide long non-coding RNA. RefSeq lists it as uncharacterized. NCBI's taxonomy places the organism in Eukaryota, Metazoa, Chordata, Actinopteri, Salmoniformes, Salmonidae. The record is from RefSeq and is a predicted model, not a curated record. The transcript is spliced from 4 exons.
CAGACCAGAUUGAUGACCAGAAAAUUGAACACAUUUUUGCUGGAGGAAACCAUUCCUUUGCGUUGUGCUCUCUUGGUCAGGAGUCUGAAGAAAGGUCAAUCUCAGGUCAAGUGUGGGCAAAGUGACACAACAAGCUAUAGAUGAAGAAAUCAUUGACAAAUGGAUCUCGAAAUAUAAUUCAAAGUCUUGGAAAAAGGACAGAAGAAAAUCACAAAAAUGUUUUCUUCUGCAUCGUGUUUAAAUGGGAGCUUUCUUGAUAAAAGGUUGAAGCUGUUGUUCAGCACACACU